RNAcentral lists this ribosomal RNA (515 nucleotides) under uncultured Bacillota bacterium. RNAcentral's name for it is "bacterial SSU rRNA". It matches the Rfam family "Bacterial small subunit ribosomal RNA", at positions 391 to 896 of the family's 1533-position model. The record is from RNAcentral. Lineage: Bacteria; Bacillati; Bacillota.
GCAACGCCGCGUGAGUGAUGAAGGUUUUCGGAUCGUAAAACUCUGUUGUUAGGGAAGAACAAGUACCGGAGUAACUGCCGGUACCUUGACGGUACCUAACCAGAAAGCCACGGCUAACAACGUGCCAGCAGCCGCGGUAAUACGUAGGUGGCAAGCGUUGUCCGGAAUUAUUGGGCGUAAAGCGCGCGCAGGUGGUCUCUUAAGUCUGAUGUGAAAGCCCCCGGCUCAACCGGGGAGGGUCAUUGGAAACUGGGAGACUUGAGUGCAGGGAGAGAAGAGUGGAAUUCCACGUGUAGCGGUGAAAUGCGUAGGGAUGUGGAGGAACACCAGUGGCGAAGGCGACUCUUUGGCCUGUAACUGACACUGAGGCGCGAAAGCGUGGGGAGCAAACAGGAUUAGAUACCCUGGUAGUCCACGCCGUAAACGAUGAGUGCUAAGUGUUAGAGGGUUUCCGCCCUUUAGUGCUGCAGCAAACGCAUUAAGCACUCCGCCUGGGGAGUACGGCCGCAAGGCUG